This 23-nucleotide non-coding RNA is filed under the name Cricetulus griseus (Chinese hamster). Lineage: Eukaryota; Metazoa; Chordata; Mammalia; Rodentia; Cricetidae. The record is from RNAcentral.
GAAAAGGGGGAAACGCUGAGGCU